UUCCUGAUGAAAUUGUGUUUAUGAAUUUUAGGCCAAAUAGGCAGAUAAUUACUGUGCCAU
Molecule: small nucleolar RNA, 60 nt
Filed under: Choloepus hoffmanni (Hoffmann's two-fingered sloth)
Lineage: Eukaryota; Metazoa; Chordata; Mammalia; Pilosa; Megalonychidae
Description: Small nucleolar RNA U18 (ENSCHOG00000015777.1)
Source: RNAcentral